UCCGUAGGCGGGCAAUUAAGUCAGAGGUGAAAUCCCACAGCUCAACUGUGGAACUGCCUUUGAUACUGGUUGUCUUGAGUUACAGUGAAGUAGAUAGAAUAUGUAGUGUAGCGGUGAAAUGCAUAGAUAUUACAUAGAAUACCGAUUGCGAAGGCAGUCUACUAACUGUAUACUGACGCUAAUGGACGAAAGCGCGGGGAGCGAACAGGAUUAGAUACCCUGGUAGUCC
This 229-nucleotide ribosomal RNA is filed under the name uncultured bacterium. Its description in RNAcentral is "partial 16S ribosomal RNA". It matches the Rfam family "Bacterial small subunit ribosomal RNA", at positions 568 to 796 of the family's 1533-position model. The record is from RNAcentral.